GGAAAUUCUCAGAUCAUAACUUACCCCCUUUCCAAUAAGAAUGUCAAGAUGCUUUCCAAGGGUCAAUGGAAAUUAUCGUGGCUUAUUUGAUGACCUUAACAUUUCCCCCCUACAUACACGCUGCAUUUCUUGUUUGUUUCUGGCCAGUGGGUGCCUCUGCUGACAAAAAUAGCACUAGCUUCUCUGUUACUUCCCAGAACUGCAUGAAACCCCGGCUGCGUUAGCCCGGUGAGGCCACACCACUAGCACAGCCCAGAAGGGCUGGAGGCAGACCCCGCACUCCUAAAUCCUAGAUGUGCGCAUUUGCCUCAGAUCCCUCUGCCCUCCUUUCUCCCUAUAAAACUCCCUGACUUCCUUCUGAAACGUUGGGGCCAGCAUUUUUUCAGGUUCUCAAGGGGAAGUCGUGGUGUCAGCCAAGGACACUUGACCCGGGUUUUCUGGAUAACCUGAAGACCUCCCAGCUUCGGUUGCCAAUGAGAAGAUAGUCCUGGGUUUGUGCACUCUCGCUCCUGUCUCCUCUGUACCUCAGCCUGUCUGUCAUCCACGCCCUUCCUUCCCUUGGCCACACCCAGCUCUCUCGGCACCUCAGAUGUUUAUCUGAAUGGCUGCAGAGGAUCUGCUCCUCUCCAGACUGCUCCCACACACACCUUCUCCCUGCUUCUCCAGGGCCUCGUUCUCUCCGUCUUAAUUCAUCCAGCUGCUCCUGUGUCCCUCUCCAUGCCCUCGCCAGCCCUCCAGCUUCCUUGCUGCCUCACCUUCCCCCGCCUCCACCACCAUCUCCCUACACAGGCGCCUCCUCCGUCCCCAGGCCCCCACUGUGCUAGAUCCAAUAGCCUUCCCUCCUCCCCAUUCUCCUUGGCUGUUUGAAGGCUCUUGGCCCUACUAAACGCCCCUUCCUUCCUAAAACUCCCUCACCCUUUGGUGGCUCAAAUCAUGCUACUUUCUGACCAUACUUCCGCUCUCUCCCUCAGUGGCUUCUGACUGAGGAUUGCCCUGUGUGAUAUAGAUGUUGAUGUAGCCGUUUUUAAGUCUGUCAGGAUGGCCAGUCGUUAGUGCCAUCAACAUUCCUAACAAAGGAGCAGAACACCUGGCAAAGACAUGAGUUGCUGGUCACUGGAGUCUGUCGAGGACAUAUGGACACUGAGUGGUAACUUGGAGCGGGUGACCUGGGAAUGGCCCUCAGGACUCUGUGAUCCUCUGACAGUUGGAAACAGAACCACGACAGAGCUCAUCUAAAAGGAAAAAUUCAAGGCUCCUGAAAUGAAUUAAAUUCAGGUGGGCCGUGUACUAGUUUGGGUUUUUGGCAGCAAAAAAAUUGAAACCAAUUCUGGCUACUUAAGUAGAAAAGGAACGUACUGAAAGGGCUUCAGGCAACUGACAGUUGUCAAGAAGACUGAAGAACCAUGAGAAAAUGGCCAGGAAAAGGGAAGGGUAGGCAGCCUAGGGAAGGACUCCAGCACCAGCAGCACCCAGGAAUAAGGCGCUGGAUGACGCAGACACCAGGAUGGAGCCUAAGCAGUCCCGGCUAGCUUGUGUCACUUGCUCCAGAUUUAAACGCCUGAGUUUAGGUCACAAGCCCAUGCUGUAGCUGACAAAGAUCAGAGACAAUAUCUGGCCUUUAAAUUAUCAGUAGUGGGAUGCAGAACCCCAGCUCCCACCAAAAUUCAUAGAAUGUCAGAUUUCCCCAAAUGUGGGGAAAGGAGUUCAGUGGCUGAAUAACC
This 1721-nucleotide long non-coding RNA is filed under the name Equus asinus (donkey). RNAcentral describes it as "lncRNA (ENSEASG00005036199.1)". Lineage: Eukaryota; Metazoa; Chordata; Mammalia; Perissodactyla; Equidae. The record is from RNAcentral.